GUUGUUUUUCCGAAAAUCAAUUAAGAAGGGCUUGAUUUUGUGUUGUAUUGACCUUAUCAGCUUUCUUCACUCUUUUUCGAGUCUUUCUUAAUGCACUUUUCGGUUAACAAGUCAACAUCAAUUUCUUUUGUUGUAAAAGGGUAUUUGGAAGGUGGCUUUCUUUUCGGAGAAAGUGUUUAUAGCCUUAUACCUCUACAAUCGGAGAGAUUGAGGUCUGCAGCGUAGAUCCUUCGGGGCUAGAUACACUUGUGCUAAGUUAUAGCUUUUCAUAGACAACUUGUUGACUAUGUUUAGUCAUGUAGCUUACCCGCUUGUGCUAUUUUACCUAC
Molecule: ribosomal RNA, 329 nt
Filed under: uncultured Neocallimastigales
Lineage: Eukaryota; Fungi; Neocallimastigomycota; Neocallimastigomycetes; Neocallimastigales
Description: partial large subunit ribosomal RNA
Source: RNAcentral